This 253-nucleotide ribosomal RNA is filed under the name uncultured bacterium. RNAcentral's name for it is "partial 16S ribosomal RNA". It matches the Rfam family "Bacterial small subunit ribosomal RNA", at positions 524 to 776 of the family's 1533-position model. The record is from RNAcentral.
CACGUAGGGGACGAGCGUUGUCCGGAUUCAUUGGGCGUAAAGCGCGCGUAGGCGGACCUGCAAGUCGGGGGUGAAAGCCCGAGGCUCAACCUCGGAACUGCCUUCGAUACUGCGGGUCUCGAGUCCGGGAGAGGUGAGUGGAAUUCCUAGUGUAGAGGUGAAAUUCGUAGAUAUUCGCAAGAACACCAGUGGCGAAGGCGGCUCACUGGCCCGGUACUGACGCUGAGGUGCGAAAGCGUGGGGAGCAAACAGG